RNAcentral lists this transfer RNA (70 nucleotides) under Conocara sp. ASIZP P0913760. RNAcentral's name for it is "tRNA-His". It matches the Rfam family "tRNA". Rfam says of the family: Transfer RNA (tRNA) molecules are approximately 80 nucleotides in length. Lineage: Eukaryota; Metazoa; Chordata; Actinopteri; Alepocephaliformes; Alepocephalidae. The record is from RNAcentral.
GUAGACAUAGUUUAACUAAAAACACUAGAUUGUGAUUCUAAAAAUAGGGGUUAAAGCCCCCUUGUCCACC